This 492-nucleotide ribosomal RNA is filed under the name uncultured bacterium. RNAcentral's name for it is "partial 16S ribosomal RNA". It matches the Rfam family "Bacterial small subunit ribosomal RNA", at positions 29 to 507 of the family's 1533-position model. The record is from RNAcentral.
AGUGAACGCUGGCGGUAGGCCUAACACAUGCAAGUCGAACGGCAGCACAGUAAGAGCUUGCUCUUACGGGUGGCGAGUGGCGGACGGGUGAGGAAUACAUCGGAAUCUACUUUUUCGUGGGGGAUAACGUAGGGAAACUUACGCUAAUACCGCAUACGACCUACGGGUGAAAGCAGGGGAUCUUCGGACCUUGCGCGAUUGAAUGAGCCGAUGUCGGAUUAGCUAGUUGGCGGGGUAAAGGCCCACCAAGGCGACGAUCCGUAGCUGGUCUGAGAGGAUGAUCAGCCACACUGGAACUGAGACACGGUCCAGACUCCUACGGGAGGCAGCAGUGGGGAAUAUUGGACAAUGGGCGCAAGCCUGAUCCAGCCAUACCGCGUGGGUGAAGAAGGCCUUCGGGUUGUAAAGCCCUUUUGUUGGGAAAGAAAAGCAGCAGGUUAACACCCCGCUGUUCUGGCGGUACCCAAAGAAUAAGCACCGGCUAACUUCGUG